CUUAAGCAAAGAGUGCUUUUCUUUUUUUCUUUUUGCAUUAUCGAGCUGUUGCAAUGCCGGGAUUAGUUUCAGUCAAAACUCCGCCGGAAACUCCGGCAUUAAGAAUAUCAAUUUCCGAUGAGAACCACGGCCGAAACGGGUCGGGCUCUAGUAGAUCCGAACAAUUUAAUCCGAAAACGAACUCACCUGCGCCACGACGACCUCCAUCACCGUCAACUUCACGGGCGAAGCCAUCUCCGGAUCGGGGCUCCGGAAAGAAGAAAUCUCCGCCGGAGAAGGUUGAAAUCGAGGAGUCAUUUCUUGACAAUCCGGAUCUAGGGCCGUUCCUGUUAAAGCUAGCGCGUGACACCAUUGCCUCCGGUGAAGGUCCGACUAAAGCACUAGACUAUGCUUUACGAGCUGCGAAGUCGUUUGAGAGGUGCGCAGUUGUCGGUGAGCCGAGUUUGGAUCUAGCUAUGAGUCUGCACGUUGUGGCAGCUAUAUAUUGUAGUUUGGGGAGGUUUGAUGAAGCUAUUCCAGUGCUAGAAACGGCGAUUAAGGUGCCGGAAGUUUCAAGAGGCGCAGAUCAUGCUCUUGCGGCGUUCUCAGGGUAUAUGCAGCUUGGUGAUACGUAUUCUAUGCUAGGACAAUUGGAUCGGUCAAUUGAGUCUUACAAAGAAGGGUUGAAAACGCAGAUGGAAGCUUUGGGAGACACAGAUCCAAGAGUCGCAGAGACUUGUAGGUACUUGGCUGAGGCUCAUGUUCAGGCAAUGCAGUUUGAUGAGGCUGAGAGUUUGUGUAAGAAAACAUUGGAAAUCCAUCGUGUGCACAGUCCUCCAGCUUCUCUUGAAGAGGCAGCUGAUCGUCGUUUGAUGGCUCUAAUAUGUGAAGCUAAAUGUGAUUAUGAGUCAGCCCUUGAGCACCUUGUACUUGCCAAUAUGGCUAUGAUUGCCAAUGGACAGGAAACUGAGGUCGCAGCUAUUGAUGUUGGAAUAGGGAACAUCUACUUGUCGUUGUCUCGUUUUGAUGAGGCCGUCUUCUCCUAUCAGAAGGCACUCACUGUUUUCAAAUCAUCUAAGGGCGACAACCAUCCUUCAGUUGCAUCUGUCUAUGUAAGGCUGGCUGACCUAUAUUACAAGACAGGAAAAGUGAGGGAAUCCAGAUCCUAUUGUGAGAAUGCCCUCAGAAUAUACGCAAAACCUGUACCUGGAACAACCCCUGAAGAUAUUGCCAGUGGAUUGAUGGAAAUUUCAGCAAUAUAUGAGUUAUUUAAUGAACCCGAGGAGGCCCUGAAACUGCUGCUCAAGGCAAUGAAACUAUUAGAGGAUAAACCGGGACAGCAAAGUACCAUUGCUGGCAUAGAGGCACGAAUGGGUGUUAUGUUUUAUAUGGUCGGGAGAUAUGAAGAGGCGCGGAAUUCCUUUGAAAAUGCAGUGAUAAAACUUAGAGCCAGUGGUGAAAGGAAAUCAGCUUUCUUCGGAGUUGUUUUAAAUCAGAUGGGAUUGUCUUCUGUACAACUGUUUAAAAUAGAUGAGGCUGCGGAGUUAUUCGAAGAAGCUAGAGAAAUUCUGGAACAGGAGUGUGGCCAUUGCCAUCAAGAUACCCUUGGUGUGUAUAGCAAUCUUGCCGCCACUUAUGAUGCUAUAGGAAGAGUGGAUGAUGCUAUUGAGAUUCUGGAGUACGUUCUUAAACUGAGAGAAGAAAAACUCGGAACUGCAAAUCCUGAUUUCAACGAUGAGAAAAAGAGGCUGGCUGAAUUAUUGAAAGAAGCAGGUAGAUCUCGGAACAAAAACCCGAAUUCCUUAGAAAAUCUUAUUGAUCCAAACUCUAAAAGGACGACGAAGAAAGAGACUUCAUCAAAGAAGUGGUCUGCAUUUGGCUUCAGAAGUUGAUUCUUUCUAGCAAGAAGUUUUUCUAUAACAUUGUAAAGGCACGAAUGUGUGUUAUGUUUUAUGUCACUAUAAACUGGUGAAGCUUAUUGGUUGUUGUCCUUUUGAAUUCAUGUCAUUUAUCUUUUUUUUCAUUCAUUGCUUGAUUGUUUAUCAGUUUGUAAUUUGAUGAUGUUUCUGUUUCAACAAAACCAAUCAAUGUUUAUGGAAGUAAUUACAAAGAUCUGAUGUUAGAGAAA
This 2107-nucleotide unclassified non-coding RNA is filed under the name Hevea brasiliensis (rubber tree). The record is from RNAcentral. Lineage: Eukaryota; Viridiplantae; Streptophyta; Magnoliopsida; Malpighiales; Euphorbiaceae.